Molecule: non-coding RNA, 23 nt
Filed under: Arabidopsis thaliana (thale cress)
Lineage: Eukaryota; Viridiplantae; Streptophyta; Magnoliopsida; Brassicales; Brassicaceae
Source: RNAcentral
AGAAUAGUCUCAAAAUAUUCUUA